This 65-nucleotide transfer RNA is filed under the name Pedetontus zhejiangensis. Its description in RNAcentral is "tRNA-Leu". Lineage: Eukaryota; Metazoa; Arthropoda; Insecta; Archaeognatha; Machilidae. The record is from RNAcentral.
ACUAAUUUGGCAGAUAAUUGCAUCAGAUUUAAAUCCUGAAUAUAAAAUAUUAAUUUUAUUUAGUA